GACGAACGCUGGCGGUGUGCCUAAUACAUGCAAGUUGAGCGCUGAAGGUUGGUACUUGUACCGACUGGAUGAGCAGCGAACGGGUGAGUAACGCGUGGGGAAUCUGCCUUUGAGCGGGGGACAACAUUUGGAAACGAAUGCUAAUACCGCAUAAAAACUUUAAACACAAGUUUUAAGUUUGAAAGAUGCAAUUGCAUCACUCAAAGAUGAUCCCGCGUUGUAUUAGCUAGUUGGUGAGGUAAAGGCUCACCAAGGCGAUGAUACAUAGCCGACCUGAGAGGGUGAUCGGCCACAUUGGGACUGGGACACGGCCCAAACUCCUACGGGGGGCAGCAGGAGGGAAUCUUCGGCAAUGGACGAAAGUCUGACCGAGCAACGCCGCGUGAGUGAAGAAGGGUUUCGGAUCGUAAAACUCUGUUGGUAGAGAAGAACGUUGGGGAGAGUGGAAAGCGCAUCAAGUGACGGUAACUACCCAGAAAGGGACGGCUAACUACGUG
This 497-nucleotide ribosomal RNA is filed under the name uncultured bacterium. RNAcentral describes it as "partial 16S ribosomal RNA". It matches the Rfam family "Bacterial small subunit ribosomal RNA", at positions 28 to 507 of the family's 1533-position model. The record is from RNAcentral.